This 282-nucleotide long non-coding RNA is filed under the name Nicotiana benthamiana. Its description in RNAcentral is "long non-coding RNA (NBEN_LNC014717)". The record is from RNAcentral. Lineage: Eukaryota; Viridiplantae; Streptophyta; Magnoliopsida; Solanales; Solanaceae.
CUGGAUAUUAAUAAGAAUUUGAAAACUAAAACUUGAAUUGUAAAACCUCUGUUCUCCAGGCAAGCUCCUGGCUGUUGAAACCUGAAAUGCAUGCCUCUGUUCUCCAGGCGGGUUCGUGACUGCUAACUUGGAACGUAUGUCUCUGUUCUUCAAGCGAACUCCUGACUGCUCAAACUUGAAAUGUAUGGCUAUGCUCUCCAGGCAGGCUCCUGGCUUCUGAAGAGAUGAACUGAUAGGGGUCUUUUUUUUUAUCCCCGAAGAGAUGAACUGAUGGGGGUCGUU